This 485-nucleotide ribosomal RNA is filed under the name uncultured bacterium. Its description in RNAcentral is "partial 16S ribosomal RNA". It matches the Rfam family "Bacterial small subunit ribosomal RNA", at positions 28 to 523 of the family's 1533-position model. The record is from RNAcentral.
GAUGAACGCUGGCGGCGUGCUUAACACAUGCAAGUCGAACGGUGAACACGGAGCUUGCUCUGUGGGAUCAGUGGCGAACGGGUGAGUAACACGUGAGCAACCUGCCCCUGACUCUGGGAUAAGCGGUGGAAACGGCGUCUAAUACUGGAUACGAGUAGCGGCCGCAUGGUCAGUUACUGGAAAGAUUUUUUGGUUGGGGAUGGGCUCGCGGCCUAUCAGCUUGUUGGUGAGGUAAUGGCUCACCAAGGCGUCGACGGGUAGCCGGCCUGAGAGGGUGACCGGCCACACGGGGACUGAGACACGGCCCAGACUCCGACGGGAGGCAGCAGUGGGGAAUAUUGCACAAUGGGCGAAAGCCUGAUGCAGCAACGCCGCGUGAGGGAUGACGGCCUUCGGGUUGUAAACCUCUUUUAGCAGGGAAGAAGCGAAAGUGACGGUACCUGCAGAAAAAGCGCCGGCUAACUACGUGCCAGCAGCCGCCGUAA